This is a long non-coding RNA of Mauremys mutica (yellowpond turtle), 753 nucleotides long. RefSeq lists it as uncharacterized. NCBI's taxonomy places the organism in Eukaryota, Metazoa, Chordata, Testudines, Geoemydidae. The record is from RefSeq and is a predicted model, not a curated record. The transcript is spliced from 5 exons.
CCAGUCUCUGACAGUGCCCAGUACAAGCUGCUUUGGAGAAAGAAACCUUAGGGAACUAAGCACCAAAAAAGGAGCAGGAUUGCAGGAGACAAUUCUUAACUCCCGGAGACCAUUUGCAGCUAAGGAUCCCGAGUGGAAGAAGGAAUCUAUCUGUGGCUCAUCAGCCAGUCACAGCAGGUCCAGAGACUCUGGUAGAGGACAGGAGCCAAAAAAGCAGAAAGGAAUAGGGAGAAGCUACAGCCUGCCAUCAAUUCUUGAAUGUAAUGCCUGAAAUGUGAAAGUUGUCUUCAUCAUUAAAGGGAUAGAUAAGCUGUAGUGUAUAUAUACACAUGUAUCUCUAAGUCUAGAUCUAGCUCUGUUUUAUAAGUUCAAGAACUAAAAACUGAGUAGCAAGGCAAUGAUAAAAUGAUUCUAGGUUAGGAUUCUGAUGACAUCAUAAAGAAUAUGAGCCCUUGUAGUUUAUGAUCUCACUAGAAACCCUUGUUGCAGCUAUUUACUAGCUGUUCCCAUUCCAGGACUGAACAUGAAGUGUGGCUAGCUUAAUCCUGGGUCUUAAACAGAACCUGCCAAAUUUGAUUAGAUCAAGCCAGUUUCCAACUGAAAGUUACAUAGCGUAUUAGUCCAUCCACAAGUAAUAGGUCUGCUGCCAGCCCUGGAGCCAAGAUACCACUGAGAACCUUUUCUUCUAAAAGUGGAAUCUUAUCCCUCACUGCUAAAUGACUCCGAAAAUGGUCCAGCAUAUUUUCUUGGAUU